This 468-nucleotide ribosomal RNA is filed under the name uncultured bacterium. Its description in RNAcentral is "partial 16S ribosomal RNA". It matches the Rfam family "Bacterial small subunit ribosomal RNA", at positions 28 to 507 of the family's 1533-position model. The record is from RNAcentral.
GACGAACGCUGGCGGCGUGCUUAACACAUGCAAGUCGAACGGAAAGGCCCUGCUUUUGUGGGGUGCUCGAGUGGCGAACGGGUGAGUAACACGUGAGUAACCUGCCCUUGACUUUGGGAUAACUUCAGGAAACUGGGGCUAAUACCGGAUAGGAGCUCCUGCUGCAUGGUGGGGGUUGGAAAGUUUCGGCGGUUGGGGAUGGACUCGCGGCUUAUCAGCGUGUUGGUGGGGGAGUGGCUUACCAAGGCUUUGACGGGUAGCCGGCCUCAGAGGGUGACCGGCCACAUUGGGACUGAGAUACGGCCCAGACUCCUACGGGAGGCAGCAGUGGGGAAUAUUGCACAAUGGGCGGAAGCCUGAUGCAGCAACGCCGCGUGCGGGAUGACGGCCUUCGGGUUGUAAACCGCUUUCGCCUGUGACGAAGCGUGAGUGACGGUAAUGGGUAAAGAAGCACCGGCUAACUACGUG